AUUAAUAGAUAUAGUCUUUAAAUUUGGAGAAUUUGGCGGUGAUUUAGUCUUGUCAGAGGAACUUGUUUUAAAAAAUCGAUACACCACGUAUAAUCUUACUUAUUUUAAUUAGUUUAUAUACCGUCAUUGUCGGAUGAUUUUUAAAGAAUUAGUAAUCAUUAAAGUUUAUGUAGUUAAUAAGUUAAAUUAGAUCAAGGUGUAGCUUAUAAAUAAGUUAAAAUGGGUUACAAUAAAAUUUAUUUAUUAUGGAGUAGUUGUAGAAAUAGUUACUAUGAAGGAGGAUUUGAUUGUAAUGGUAUUUUAAUAAGUUUAAAAGAUAUAAGCUCUAAAUUAU
RNAcentral lists this ribosomal RNA (334 nucleotides) under Actaea fragifera. RNAcentral describes it as "partial large subunit ribosomal RNA". The record is from RNAcentral. Lineage: Eukaryota; Metazoa; Arthropoda; Malacostraca; Decapoda; Xanthidae.